This 104-nucleotide non-coding RNA is filed under the name Shewanella benthica KT99. Its description in RNAcentral is "partial 23S ribosomal RNA". It matches the Rfam family "Bacterial large subunit ribosomal RNA", at positions 2821 to 2925 of the family's 2925-position model. The record is from RNAcentral. Lineage: Bacteria; Pseudomonadati; Pseudomonadota; Gammaproteobacteria; Alteromonadales; Shewanellaceae.
AAUCCUCUAAAGAGCCGUUCGAGACUAGGACGUUGAUAGGCAGGGUGUGUAAGUGCUGUGAGGCAUUGAGCUACCUGUACUAAUGACUCGUGAGGCUUAACCAU